This 891-nucleotide ribosomal RNA is filed under the name uncultured bacterium. RNAcentral describes it as "bacterial SSU rRNA". It matches the Rfam family "Bacterial small subunit ribosomal RNA", at positions 505 to 1397 of the family's 1533-position model. The record is from RNAcentral.
GUGCCAGCAGCCGCGGUAAUACGUAGGUCCCGAGCGUUGUCCGGAUUUAUUGGGCGUAAAGCGAGCGCAGGUGGUUUAAUAAGUCUGAUGUAAAAGGCAGUGGCUCAACCAUUGUGUGCAUUGGAAACUGUUAGACUUGAGUGCAGUAGAGGAGAGUGGAAUUCCAUGUGUAGCGGUGAAAUGCGUAGAUAUAUGGAGGAACACCGGUGGCGAAAGCGGCUCUCUGGACUGUAACUGACACUGAGGCUCGAGAGCGUGGGUAGCAAACAGGAUUAGAUACCCUGGUAGUCCACGCCGUAAACGAUGAGUGCUAGUUGUUUGGGGCUAUCCAGCCCUAAGUGACGCAGCAAACGCAUUAAGCACUCCGCCUGGGGAGUACGACCGCAAGGUUGAAACUCAAAGGAAUUGACGGGGGCCCGCACAAGCGGUGGAGCAUGUGGUUUAAUUCGAAGCAACGCGAAGAACCUUACCAGGUCUUGACAUACCAGUGCUAUUCUUAGAGAUAAGAAGUUACUUCGGUACACUGGAUACAGGUGGUGCAUGGUUGUCGUCAGCUCGUGUCGUGAGAUGUUGGGUUAAGUCCCGCAACGAGCGCAACCCCUAUUGUUAGUUGCCAUCAUUAAGUUGGGCACUCUAGCGAGACUGCCGGUAAUAAACCGGAGGAAGGUGGGGAUGACGUCAAAUCAUCAUGCCCCUUAUGACCUGGGCUACACACGUGCUACAAUGGUUGGUACAACGAGUCGCAAGCUAGUGAUAGCAAGCUAAUCUCUUAAAGCCAAUCUCAGUUCGGAUUGUAGGCUGCAACUCGCCUACAUGAAGUCGGAAUCGCUAGUAAUCGCGGAUCAGCACGCCGCGGUGAAUACGUUCCCGGGCCUUGUACACACCGCCCGU